AUUGAACGCUGGCGGAAUGCUUUACACAUGCAAGUCGAGCGGCAGCGCGGGGCAACCUGGCGGCGAGCGGCGAACGGGUGAGUAAUACAUCGGAACGUGCCCAGACGUGGGGGAUAACUACUCGAAAGAGUGGCUAAUACCGCAUACGAUCUACGGAUGAAAGCGGGGGAUCGCAAGACCUCGCGCGUCUGGAGCGGCUGAUGGCAGAUUAGGUAGUUGGUGGGAUAAAAGCCUACCAAGCCAACGAUCUGUAGCUGGUCUGAGAGGAUGAUCAGCCACACUGGGACUGAGACACGGCCCAGACUCCUACGGGAGGCAGCAGUGGGGAAUUUUGGACAAUGGGCGAAAGCCUGAUCCAGCCAUUCCGCGUGCAGGAUGACGGCCCUACGGGUUGUAAACUGCUUUUCCCCGGGGCGAAUAACCCCCUCGCGAGGGGGGAUGCCGGUACCGGGGGAAUAAGGAUCGGCUAACUCCGUG
Molecule: ribosomal RNA, 477 nt
Filed under: uncultured bacterium
Lineage: Bacteria
Description: bacterial SSU rRNA
Rfam family: Bacterial small subunit ribosomal RNA
Source: RNAcentral